UCCAUCUCUCGUACAAGGAAUUUUGUUCACUCUUUGAUGUUCUUAUAAUUACACAGGGAUAUGGUUGUACACAGAACUUAUAAAUUUCUUAGUAGUGAUAUGGUUAGGAUUACAUUGUGAAUUGCUAUAAGAAAUUGUAUAACAACUAAUAUGAUGUGCUUCCUACGAAAAGACAAAGGCUUUAGAUGGCUCCCCUGCUGACCUGAAAUUGGUGAGGACCUAAAUUCAAAACGCUGAUGAUAAUGGAAAAGGUUAAUAGGAAACGAACUGCUGGAGAAAUGGAAGGAACCCCACAUAUGAUGGUCGUCAGUGUUGGGGGAAAGGUCUUGUCGCGGGGCAUGCAAGUGUUUUCAGUGCCAGCUUCCCAGUGUCAGCAAUUACCUGUUAUUACUGCAGUGCCCGACAUCGAUUCUUCU
This is a non-coding RNA of Penaeus vannamei (Pacific white shrimp), 416 nucleotides long. NCBI's taxonomy places the organism in Eukaryota, Metazoa, Arthropoda, Malacostraca, Decapoda, Penaeidae. The record is from RefSeq and is a predicted model, not a curated record.